Molecule: ribosomal RNA, 484 nt
Filed under: uncultured bacterium
Lineage: Bacteria
Description: partial 16S ribosomal RNA
Rfam family: Bacterial small subunit ribosomal RNA
Source: RNAcentral
AUUGAACGCUGGCGGCAGGCCUAACACAUGCAAGUCGAGCGGAUGAAGGGAGCUUGCUCCUGGAUUCAGCGGCGGACGGGUGAGUAAUGCCUAGGAAUCUGCCUGGUAGUGGGGGAUAACGUCCGGAAACGGGCGCUAAUACCGCAUACGUCCUGAGGGAGAUAGUUGGGGAUCUUCGGACCUCACGCUAUCAGAUGAGCCUAGGUCGGAUUAGCUAGUUGGUGGGGUAAAGGCCUACCAAGGCGACGAUCCGUAACUGGUCUGAGAGGAUGAUCAGUCACACUGGAACUGAGACACGGUCCAGACUCCUACGGGAGGCAGCAGUGGGGAAUAUUGGACAAUGGGCGAAAGCCUGAUCCAGCCAUGCCGCGUGUGUGAAGAAGGUCUUCGGAUUGUAAAGCACUUUAAGUUGGGAGGAAGGGCAGUAAGUUAAUACCUUGCUGUUUUGACGUUACCAACAGAAUAAGCACCGGCUAACUUCGUG